UACGGGGGGGGUAAGCGUUGUUCGGAAUUACUGGGCGUAAAGGGCUCGUAGGCGGCCAACUAAGUCAGACGUGAAAUCCCUCAGCUUAACUGGGGAACUGCGCCUGAUACUGGAUGGCUUGGAUUCGGGAGAGGAAUGCGGAAUUCCAGGUGUAGCGGUGAAAUGCGUAGAUAUCUGGAGGAACACCGGUGGCGAAGGCGGCAUUCUGGACCGAUAUUGACGCUGAGGAGCGAAAGCCAGGGGAGCAAACGGG
Molecule: ribosomal RNA, 253 nt
Filed under: uncultured bacterium
Lineage: Bacteria
Description: partial 16S ribosomal RNA
Rfam family: Bacterial small subunit ribosomal RNA
Source: RNAcentral